AGUUGUCCUUGACUGCAUGGUUUCUGCUGGUCCAAGCAAACUUCUCCUGCCACGCCUAACCUUGGAGAGCAGGCUGGAGUGCGGUGGCACCAUCACAGCUCACUGCAGCCUCAGUCUCCUGGGCUUAAGGGAUCGUUUUGCAUCAGUCUCUGGGUAGCUGGGCCUACAGGCGCACACCACCAAACCCAGCUAACUUUUUAUUUUUUGUGGAGAUGGGGGUCUCUCUACAUUGCCCAGACUGGUCUCAAACUCCCGGCAUCAGGUGGUCCUCCUGCCUUGGCCUCCCAAAAUGCUGGGAUUACAGUGAUCAAUGGAGGAAGUGUUUCAUGGUGGACAUGGGAAACUGGCCAGAUCAACUGCUGUCACCUUCUAAGACCCAGACGGGGAGGAGGAAUGCCAGAGAAGCUGCAGACUCUCCGGCCACGGAGCCUGAGUGGAGCAGAGGUGGCCCACUGUCAGCCACAGGUCAAGUGUCAGGGUGGGGACGGGGCAGGCUCCACCAGAAGGCGGGGGCAGGCUCCACCAGAAGGCGGGGCCAGACCACAGGGCAAGGUGGAGAUGAGUCUGUGGCACCCCCAGGAAGUUUACCAGAUUUGCCCCAGAGCUUCUGACCCUUUGGAUCUCUCUGGGCUGCAUUCUUCAGGGUCCCAUUGCUUCUUUCUUGAAGGUGGAAGGAAAUGUUCCCAUCAGAGCCUUCCAACAGGCCACCUUGGGGGCUUCUCCUGAGAGCUCCUUGUGCACACACCCCUUCAGGGUGGCUUGGGUUGCGCCCUCAGACCCCAGUGGGGGGCCGUAUGGCAUCCUCCUUGGUCAGCAAGUGAGCCACAGCAGCAGGCCCCUCACAGACCUCAGCCUGGGGCCACAGGUCCCUUCUCCCCAUCUCCGCAUCUGGAGAAGCAACCUGUGGAGCAGCCAAGAGUGGCAGCCCUGGCUCUCUACAGCAUUCAUUUUCAGGGCAAGACAGAGCAUUUCCACUAUUAUGCUCCCCCCCCCGGCCUUUUUUUUUUUUUUUUGAGACAGGGUCUCACUCUGUUGCCCAGGCUGGAGUGCGGUGGCGCAAUCAUGGCUCACUGCAGCCUCGACCUUCUGGGGUCAAGUGAUCCUCCCAAUUCAGCCUCCAAAUUUCUUUAAACAAAAAAAAAUGCAAGAAAGGCAAAACAAGAUAUUUAUCUGGGCUGAGAGGGUAAAGAGAAGCUCUAUCUUUGAGCUGAGACACAAAAUGGAAAGAAGAGGCAGCAGCAGCGGCAGUAGCAGUUCUGCCUUUCCAAACCUUCCCUAUCUAAGUGCUUUCAAGAUAUGCUGAAAGUCAUGAAUUGAAGUGUGGUUCCCACGGCUUUAGUCCUUGUAUGAAGGUCCUUUUGCUAGAACUUACUUCCUUUCCAGCCCAUAUGGUUGACCUGGGGGUCCAGGCAGUUCUCAAGGGAACCACAGGAUUCCAUGUGAUCUGGGAUCCCAGUUGAUGAUCCCUCUUCUGGUCACAAGCUGAAUUGGACCCAAAUCUGCACCCUAAACUCCCCUCUUGCCAGAUCCUGCCCAGUCAGUGCCGUCCCCUCAGACUGGGUGGGCAGCCUGGGCUUCCUGCUGAGACGGGACCCCCCCCUCUCUUCUUGAUCUCACUCCCAGGAAAGACACUGAAGGAGCAGAGGUGUGGACGCCACAUACUGGACGGGGUUUCACCAUCUGCUGGGACGGGACACCCUCUCUUCUUGAUCUCACUCCCAGAAAAGACACUGAAGGAGCAGAGGUGUGGACGCCUCAUACUGCUAGAGACGGGGUUUCACCGUGUUAGCCAGGAUGGUCUCAAUCUCCUGAAGUCGUGAUCCACCCGCCUUGGCCUCCCAAAGUGCUGGGAUUACAGGCGUGAGCCACUGCACCCGGCUGAAAUUGUAUACUUUAAAGGGAUGAAUUUUAUGGUAUGUGAAUUAUGUCUCAUUAAAAAAAACAAACUGUUAAGAAAA
This is a long non-coding RNA of Homo sapiens (human), 1958 nucleotides long. Ensembl annotates it as long intergenic non-protein coding RNA 671. NCBI's taxonomy places the organism in Eukaryota, Metazoa, Chordata, Mammalia, Primates, Hominidae. The record is from Ensembl.